Aegilops tauschii subsp. strangulata is the source of this 3695-nucleotide long non-coding RNA. RefSeq lists it as uncharacterized. The record is from RefSeq and is a predicted model, not a curated record. Lineage: Eukaryota; Viridiplantae; Streptophyta; Magnoliopsida; Poales; Poaceae.
CGUACAUGUAGCCAUAUAAAAAAAUGUAUGAGAUUGUUUAAAAUAACAAAUUGGGCGUACAUGUAGCCAUAAAAAAAAUGUGUGAGAUUGUUUAAAAUAACAAAUUGGCGAAAAAUAAAAUAUUUACCAGGCGUAUGUGUCAUACGCUGCAGGGAUUCAAUUUCAAUAUUCCGUUGGGGUUGCUCGAUGUGCAGACCGCACAGGUUGGGGUGGAUGUGCUCUCUUUUAGGCACACCCCUAAACAACCUGGCGCUCUUAUGAAUUGGUAUGCUUAUGUUAAGCUAAGCCAUGUGGGACUAAAAAUUGCUUCUCUGUCAUUUGUUCGUUCGGCUAACACGCGGGGUUUGUGUGUGCCUUGUGGCCAUGUGACAUUGAGGAGGACAGGCAGGCCGAAAUAAUGGCGCAUACGUGAGUCAAGGCCCACACCUUCCUCGUCUCUGUACUGACGCCGCAUCUCGCUCCCUCUCCUCCACGCCCCACUUCGCGGUCCACCGUGGAACCGCUGCAGCCCAGCCCCACCCCACCCUCCCGGCGUGCACUCUGGCGAGGAGGAUAGCGGUUGGCCCCUCCAGGUCGCGGCGCGCACAGCGGCAAGACGGGAGCUUCGAACACUGCUUCCUUCGUGAUGUGGAGGAUUUCAGAUAUUCCGACCUGCAGGAAUAGCUAUCAAGCUAAGCCGCAUAACAAACUUACAUGAGAAAUCUACUAGAGUCAUACAUGCUUAUGCUAUAGAGCAGAUUAAAGCAACGAACGCAGCAAACAAAUGACCCAGUCUGGUAAUCCCAGAGGACUUCGAACCCACCCUCUGCUGGUUGGUCCAUUCAGCCACUGCUGCGCACAGAGGCCUCUCUUGCAGUUCGAUCAUUGCUUGCUUCCCCCCGCGCCCUGCGGCAAGAUGGGAGCGGACGAGAGAGACGAGGCAAGGCUUCCUUUCUCUUACAGUUCAACCAUUGAUUUCUUGCUGUGGAGGCUUUCAGAGAUCCCGACCUGCAGCUUGGAUUUUCAUGACGCCUCAUCAAAAACCAAUCCUCUUAUGUGGGAGAGAGGAGACCAAGUGGAAAUACCCCCCACCUUCUCUGCAUCUUCUUACCAACUCUGGGCAGCCAACUAUGCCUAAGCGUUCGACGGCUGGCAACCGCUCCAGGAGACCAUGCGGGAAUUCCUCCAUAGCUGGACAAUCAUAAAUCCUCAAUUCCCUAAGAGAAGUGAGGCCACACAUCCCAUCAAGCAGCGCUUCCAGGCCACUGCAGAAACUCACACCGAGACAAUGGGGAUCAAUGGAAUACUUGCAAGCUUGGGGCAAUUUUCGAUCCUUAGCACUUCAAGCAUCGGGAACUUUACAAAGCUAUCACAAGGCUCUCCCACAAUAUUUUCCGCACACAUCUCCAGGCUUGGUAACUUAAUCAACUCCGUCCUCUUCAAGCCAGGGAAAAUUUGCAGAGGGGUAAUGCAUCCACCUUCCACAUCAAGGUUAUUACAUAAUGUGGUCAUGUUAUCCAUCUUCUCCAAGGACAAAAUUUCUAGAGAGACCGAGAACCAUACUACAGGAAUAUGCACGAAAUUGUUUUCGAUCUGUCACUUAUUCUAUGGCGUACUAGACGGGAGACGCGGCACACGGACUUGGUAAUCCCUUUUUUUUUUUUGCUAUACAUCAAUACAAUUGUAGAUUAUACAACAAAAAAUCAUACUAUGGUAAAUUAGUUCAGUGAACCCAGAGUUAUGAGAUAAUCAUAUUUUUGAAUUUGAGAAAAGUUAGAUUAUACACGAUGCAUGGAAAGGAUUUUUGCACCAGCUUUCUUCGUACCAACAGGAUUAAUUUCUGCUGUUAUGAUUGUUGAAUAAUAAAUAAUUGAGAAGCUGGACAUACCUCCAUGAGGAAAAACAGAUGACACAACCAUCAUAAUCGCAUUGGUUGCAAACAUAUGGAUGAGAACGGUUUUAACACAUCAUUUUUUUUAGUGAAACAAUGGCCUGAAGUCUGAACUAUUUUGGAAAAAAAAGUUUCUGAACAAAUAAAAGGUACACGCAACAAAAUUUAUUGUUCUCGCUGAGGCGCAGAUCAAUACUCGACACACAACAAAAUCAUGUUGCCAAUACAUAUCUAAUCAGAGAUUUUUUGCUUUAUUUAUGUUGGGGGAGCUGCAGUGCAAGUCUCAUUAGUCUGGUACAACUGAUGAGAUGCAGUACUGGCACGCUGCGUUUAAGGUAUCAUGCACAAUCUGAAUUGGAUUAGAUUCGCCAACAUUAUAUUUCUUGGUAUAUGAAACUACCAAGAUGCAGCCGAAAUGGGAGAAGCGACGUGCGCAUGCGCUGGCCAAUCAUGCUGAAGCUGAACGGCAACACAGGUGGUUGGAACUGAAGAAACUGAAGCUCCGUCAACCAGGGCAGUGCCAGCUUCGGAGAAGCAAUCAUCAGAAGAUAAAGAUACUGAAGUUGGGGCCCGCAGGAACCGUGCUCAGUUGAUUUGCUUCCAUCAACUAUGAGGGUGGGUUAUGCUAUGCAAGAGGAAAGUACAAGGUUGUCGUCAGAAUUUUUUACCUGAAACACCGAGUCAUUCAUGGUCUCGAUGGAUCUGCAGUAUCAGACGGUGGCAUCAGAAUUCAGGCAUACAUGCGUGUUGCUCUGUCUCAGUUAGUCGCAAAUGUUCAGAACUCCUCACACAUGCGCAGUCAAAAGCUUAACACUAAGCACUUACAGGAAUAUUUACUUCAGAGAUAUUAUCAGCCGGUCCUAGCAAGGCAGAACAGUUAUGGAAUCCCUGAGACGGAUCAUAAGUUUAGUUCAACCAUAUUUGAACAAGGACGCCAUGGGACUCCCCAUUGCCAACGACAUCACGCACCUCACCACCCAGGCCCAUGUCCGGCUCGGCAAGAUGCUCACCGACGCAUACAUAUCCACGCUUUGAUGAUAAUCCAGUACGCAUACGUAGCCACGCUCUGAUGAUCCAGGACGUAAUCAGUGUGUGUACAUUCCAGUGAACACUUCCAAUCAGGCAGGCAGGCAGACAUUACUGACACUAUCAUUGAUUCCAUCUACUCCCUCGCGUUUUUUACACAAAAGAGCGUUUUUUACACCAGAUUGUGGUGUAAAAAACACUCUUAUAUUAUGGGACAGAGGGAGUAAUACUGAAUUUGGUGAUGAUUAGUUGUGGACAACAGAUGAAUAAAUCUGCUCUAGUCUGAUACUCUGUAGUAGUAAUAUCAGGAUGCUUCAUGUCAGGCUCCCAAAGGCUCCAACUCAAGGAAGGAGCAGACACGAGCUCAGACUAUUCCUGCCAUUAAUUGCUAUGGGCAUUGUAGGAAUUGGUACAAUCUCAUCAUCAGUACAGCACUGCCGUUGUGCUGAAGAGAAAUUCUGAGCUGCAGUCUGCAGGUACAUCGAUCCAUCGCAUGUUAUUACCGAUUCAUCGCAUGUUAUUACCGAAUUUGAUGUGAGAAACAUUUAUUUCGACAAAAGGGAGAUUAAUUAUUCACCAGGGCAAACAUGUCAUGUGUAUACUGAUUUAUACUCCAUGACGCCAUCAUCAGAAAUCAAGUUCACCAUAUCUACGUGGGAUAGACGAGAGCAAGUGGAAAUACUCCCCACCUUCUAUGCAUGUCUUACCAACUUCGGGCAACCACUUAUCCUUAGAGCAACUCCAACCCGCCGACCCAAACUGUCGCGCGUGUCUGUUUGGAUCGAUACAGACAGAAAAA